This 235-nucleotide ribosomal RNA is filed under the name uncultured bacterium. RNAcentral's name for it is "partial 16S ribosomal RNA". It matches the Rfam family "Bacterial small subunit ribosomal RNA", at positions 524 to 759 of the family's 1533-position model. The record is from RNAcentral.
UACGAGGGGGCAAGCGUUGUUCGGAAUUAUUGGGCGUAAAGGGUGCGUAGGCGGUCUGACAAGUCUGAUGUGAAAUCUAUGGGCUCAACCCAUAGUCUGCAUCGGAAACUGUCGGGCUUGAGUAUGGGGAGAGGUGAGUGGAAUUUCCGGUGUAGCGGUGAAAUGCGUAGAUAUCGGAAGGAACACCUGUGGCGAAAGCGGCUCACUGGACCAUACUGACGCUGAGGCACGAAAG